This 290-nucleotide ribosomal RNA is filed under the name uncultured bacterium. RNAcentral's name for it is "partial 16S ribosomal RNA". It matches the Rfam family "Bacterial small subunit ribosomal RNA", at positions 28 to 320 of the family's 1533-position model. The record is from RNAcentral.
GACGAACGCUGGCGGCGUGCUUAACACAUGCAAGUCGAGCGGUAAGGCCCUUUCGGGGGUACACGAGCGGCGAACGGGUGAGUAACACGUGGGUGACCUGCCCUCAGCUCUGGGAUAAGCCUGGGAAACCGGGUCUAAUACUGGAUAUGACUCCAUGACGCAUGUUGUGGGGUGGAAAGCCUUGUGCGGCUGAGGAUGGGCCCGCGGCCUAUCAGCUUGUUGGUGGGGUGAUGGCCACCAAGGCGACGACGGGUAGCCGGCCUGAGAGGGCGACCGGCCACACUGGGACU